GGAGGGGAGGCGGGGCCAUCACCCCGGACUAGUAAAAACGUACGUGUGUUUGUGCCAUGCGGCCCCUCAAAUGUGACGUGUUGUAUUAGAGACGCCUCCCCGUGAGGUGUGCGCGCGCGUGUUAUCUCCACCUCUCGGCCAUUGUCUCCUCAUCACGGCGACCCCUGCAGUGUACCCCCGCUCCACCCUCCCUCACCCGCCGCUGCCCGCAACGUACCUCUGAAAAGAGGAAAAGAUGAGUACAUUCCUGCUUUGGAGAAAAAAACAGUUGAAUAAAAAAACAAAUGUUUAAGCACCACUUUUGCGUGUGAUGUGAGGUUGAUUUUUGUGUGAGGGUCUUUUUUGUUUAGUUAGUGUGUGGGCGUGUGUAUCAGAGGCCCGCCGGCUCUGCCUUUUAGAAGAGGUUCUCUCCUCUUAUCGGCACUAUGGACUGCUCGCAGCGGGGUUCCUUUUGGUCGCUCGCUUAAUAGCAUUGCCAUCACACACGCGCACACACUAAACUCUCCCGCGAGUGUUAUCAACAACUUAUCAAACCCGCUUUCGUUAGUGUUGCCUGGCAACCUAUUGACAGACCUGAUUUCAUUCUCCGCCCCUUUUUCCCCCCUUUAACCCCAUCUAUCCGUUGCCAUGGUAACAGUUGUCAUCUCUUUCAAAGUAUCCUCAUUUGCCACCAGGGUGGGCUUCAGGGUGACCACUUUGAUCGAUGGUGUGUGUGCGUGUGAGAGUUGAUUACUGGCUGUCUCAUACACACACACACACACAUACACGCACACACACACGGCCAUUGACUUCCAGCUACACGAACAUCCUUUAUUGUCUACUGAUGGACACACACUGGUAUCAAUCCCGCUUUGGAAAAGGAUGUGAACAUCUGAUGCCCAGUUACCAUGGCGACCAGGUGUUUGCAUCCCGCAUGGCGCCUGUUUCAACGACGAUAACUUCGGGAACUUUGUUGCACAAAGAGGGUGCCCACUAUUUCAGCGUUUGAUGACCUCUAAGAAGACAAAGGCUUUCUGUUCUAGAAAUUGGAAAAGACCCCAGAGAAAUUGUGUGGUGCAGGACAGCAAUUUAUUUAAAAGCGAAACAACAAAAAACAUAAUUUUGGUUGCGCAUUCUUGUGGCAAAACGUUCUCAUCCCAGCAUGUUUGUCAUUUUUGCGGCAUGACUCACUCGCACCAUGAUGUUUUGUGAUAUUUUUCAACUAAAUUCAAUUAGGAUUUACAUCUGCUAUCUAUAAAAUUGUGACAGCAUCAGCAAGAAAAGACAUUUUAAACAUGUUUCAAACAAAUAAACAGUCGUAUUUCUUGAACGGACUUGGUGUUCCUGAAUCCGAUGAACUUGAACGCCCGCUACAAACCACGUGACAUUGUCUUCGUUCCUGAUUGGCCGAAUGAGUUUUGCCACUGACAGCCCGAACGUCUGACACCUAGCAUAACUACUAAACGUGACAUUUAACAAAGAUUAUUUGUUCACUUUUGCACACAAAAUACAUUUUAUGUCAACAUUAGGAGCGGCAACUAAAACCGUCCAAGCGACAUUUUGAACUGGCCCUGACGUAAUUUGGCUACUCUCAGCUGUAACCGAGUUAAACGAGCCCACUGAGCUCAUCACGCUCGCCUGUCACCUUCGCCUGAUUGAUGCCACAAAUCACGCAAGGGAGAUCUUCUGCUUCUCACCAUCAGCAACAAGUGGAGAUAAAGAGUAUGACAUGUUGCAAAGUUCGCCACGGAUGACAAGGUGGCAGAGCAGAUGCGACGUUGCAACCCUCGACGCUGGCGAGAAGUGAAGCAGAGAGGCUAUUACAUGCUGUCUGACACCUCUUCCUUCCCUUCUGCCAGAGAUGCCUCGGCUGUCGUCUGCUUGUUUUUACAAAGGGGCCGAGGAGGACAACGUGAUUAUGAACUCCUAAGCUGCUUAAUGCUGCCGUCAAAUGAGAGCGCCGGCUCGGCUCAAUUUCCUGCGCGUCGCCGCCGCCGCCGCCGCCUCACGUUCUGCCCCACGUCACCCUCUCACGCACGCACACCGCCACGCACACGCACGACGUGAUGGAUUAAAGCGGUCGUGGGGGAAAUGAAAGGAAGCAAACCUUCCAUGAAAUUGGUUCCCCAGAAGUUUGCACGCCACAGGAGAGGAGGGGGCGGGGGUCGGCUGGUGCUGAAAACGUGCAAAGGCUUUGCCUCCUCCUCCUUGUGGCUCCCAAGGAGAGUCAUCAGACGACCCCGGUCAGGUCACGGGGGUUCAGAGGUCACCCGGCCAAGACGUCCACGUGCCCGUGUCAAAACACCAGCUGGUGCAACCAUCUCGGAUGUCUGCGGCUGCAUCGAACAAGGAACAGGUUUUGGCUCAGCUCAAGAAGGAUCUCCGCUCGUUGCUUGUGUCGUCCAAAUUCGGCUUGGACGCUAACCAGCUGAUGCGCGACUACGGCAACAUGCUGGGAUACCCCAUUCCGCUGCAAUUGCUGGGCUUCCGGAAUGUUCUGGACAUGGCCACAGCCAUGCCAGACGUGAUGUCUGUGACUUACGGCAUCAACGGCUGUCGGGUCUUUCAAGCCGUGAGUGACAAGUCCACCAUGCAUAUUGAGCAGCUGGUGGCCAAGCAGCGCAGCAAAAAGAAGAAGAGUACCGGCCAUCAUCAACCGGCACCCAUCUGGUACCACCAGAGGCGAAAUGUUUUUCUUUCGCUCGAUACUUUUAGGGCGCAGCUACGAAUCCUCCUCAGUCAGGGUCCUCUCAAAUUGUGUAGCUUGAAUUGGAGCUACAAGCGUUGCUUUGGCCACCCGGUGAUCCCCCACAACUUCGGUUUUAACACCCUCAAAGACCUGCUUGAGGCUGUGCAGGAUCUGAUCUUCAUCCAGCCCACCAACAUGAGCCAUAUUGUCUGCCUGAGAGACAAUGUGGUGUCGAUGAAUCACGCUGGAUUGUACUUCACGCCCGAUUGGGUCAAAACAAAGGCGGCCAAAAGCUCACACAGCAGCGGAAUUCCGACGCGAGGAAAACCGUCAGGGCCACUGACGUGUCUGCCCGCGGCGACGGAGCAGAAAGAUGGAGAAGCAGAUCCAGAUCGCGAUCAGAAACUGCCGCUGGAGAAGCCUUCGGGCAAGAAUGGGCCUCCCAUCGAGAAUAGUCACUUAACUGUGCAACCAGCAGAGGGCGACAAAGGACGCUGUACGGUUGUUGUGAACUGUGACGCGGUUCAAAGAGUCGAUUCAAGCCAAGUGGGAAACGUUGGCCACCCUAUUACGAACGCACACGAGGAAAACUCUUCACCUUGGGAAGGCAAAAUCAUGGCAGAAUAUGAUCGCUGUUCAACGGAGGCCCAUCGAGAAGAGACCAGUGAGGAUUCACAGAUUCCAGAGGAGAUUGCUGAGAAGAGCACAGACGUUUGUAGCCACCAUGCUGAGAUCCGAGACGAGGCUCAGAACGUGGCCCUGGAUGUCCUUUGCUGUGAGCGUCUCAAGCGGCCAACGCAGCGCGCCGCUCGCGAGAUCACGGCCGUCCAGGUGGAGCACUUCGAGUCUCCGGGACAUUUCUACAUCCAUUUCUGCGACGAGUCGCAGGCGUUGCUGGACAUGAUGUUUGAGAUGAGGCGAUUUUAUACCCGUCCUGAUGUGUUUAAAAUCUAUCGACUCCCACGGAGAUUCGUCCGACGGGGCCAACCCUGUUGCAUGUCGGCGACGGGCCUCUGGUUCUACCGAGUGGUGAUACAGCGAGUUGUCAACGCCAGUCAGGUGGACGUGUUCUAUGUGGACUAUGGCCACACCACCAGGGUGGACUCGGACAAGCUGAAGUUUCUCAAGACGUGCUUCUCCAUUCUCCCGGCGCAAGCAGUCCCCUCGUCUCUAGCUGGAGUCAAACCAAAAACUGUGGAGCCCAGAGGCCACGGCUUCCUUCCAGAGUCUUUGCGCCAAUCACGUGCUCGCGGGCGCCCUCGAGUGUUACGCCGGAGACGUGCUGCAGGUCUACCUUUGCGACACACGCACAAGCGAAGACGUCUAUGUCCACACCGUCCUGCUGAGCCAGGGCCACGCCGUGGCCUGCUUGCCCUCGGACAGCGCCGGGUGUGUCGAGGACAAUCCAUUCACGUUGUACCUGGGUGACGGCGCAGUCGAUCUGCAAGAUGUGGAGAAGAUGACGCUGGACGAUCUCAAAGACGCCGCCACCACCAAAGAGAAGGUUGAUUUGGACGAGAUGCCCGCCUUGGAGCCCAUUGUGGAGGAGCAGGUCAGCGCUCACUUCCUGGUUUGAUGAUAGAUGUGCUUGGGUUGUCUUUGGUAAUAUUGCAAAACAUAAUUUGCUACCCCACCAGUACUCACUAUGCGUAAAUUUGAGCAGAAAGCUCAAAUCCAUUUUCCUUUAAUUUUGUUGUCAAAGUAAGGGUGCUCACUAUUGUGAGGAGAUUCCAAACGAGCUGUGGGACACCUUAAACAUUUGAAUGUCCUCCUAAGAUCUGUGACUGCUCCAAAGGUAUACACACACACACGCGCACGGUUAUUUUCUAGUCAUUGUGAUGCAAUAUUUUCCUCUGCUGUCCAGGUAUUCAAGUCACUGUUCUUUUGGCAGUUCUGUUUGUGGCCUGACAAUUGAACCCUGUCGUAUUUAAUUGUUCGGCUAUUUUGGUUUCUAACAUCGCUGCUAUAAAAGGAAUUGCUUUUAUGUUUGACUGUUUAUAUAUUUUUUUAAAUUCAAAGCAUUGGGUUUUUUUUGUAAUGUUAACAUUGUGACAUUAAAGGACAAAAAUGUG
This is an RNA transcript of Syngnathus acus (greater pipefish), 4740 nucleotides long. It is a transcript of the gene named tudor domain-containing protein 5-like, with no coding region annotated. The record is from RefSeq and is a predicted model, not a curated record. The transcript is spliced from 20 exons. Lineage: Eukaryota; Metazoa; Chordata; Actinopteri; Syngnathiformes; Syngnathidae.